ACUGUGACAAAGCUUCAACAGCAAACACACUCGGCUUAGAGAUUAGCAUACCGCCAGCAGUCCCACGAUGCAUUGCUGCUCUACAAUGGCUUUGACUGUUUCCUUCAUGGACAGGCCAUGUACACUCACGAACCUCUCUAAGUACUUCUGUUCCACACUUGCGUUAAGUGUCACUGCAUAGCAUCGAGGAGGAAGGCCGGCUUUAGGGGAUGCAUUUGUCUUUUUGCCCUUUGUUGCAACUUCAGAAGCUUUCUGACCCCCAAUUUUAGGGUUUGGGAUGUCAGCAUAGCUUGCCUUGUAAAGAUGCAUGUUCCUUCUGCGUACUCUGUUCAAGAAACUCUGUGUACUAUGUACUUCGCUCAACGCUGUAUGUCUAAGCUUUCAAGGAAGAUAAGAGUGUUCUGUUAUUUCCUACAAGGGACAUAAAUGUAGGGAUGAAAAUGCUUUUAAUAAAUGUCAUGGGAUUAUA
Molecule: long non-coding RNA, 469 nt
Organism: Pseudophryne corroboree (corroboree frog)
Lineage: Eukaryota; Metazoa; Chordata; Amphibia; Anura; Myobatrachidae
Exons: 2
Source: RefSeq, a predicted model, not a curated record